RNAcentral lists this ribosomal RNA (327 nucleotides) under uncultured soil bacterium. RNAcentral describes it as "bacterial SSU rRNA". It matches the Rfam family "Bacterial small subunit ribosomal RNA", at positions 26 to 378 of the family's 1533-position model. The record is from RNAcentral.
AGAACGAACGCUGGCGGCAUGCCUAAUACAUGCAAGUCGAACGAACUCUUCGGAGUUAGUGGCGCACGGGUGCGUAACGCGUGGGAAUCUGCCCUUGGGUUCGGAAUAACAGUUGGAAACGACUGCUAAUACCGGAUGAUGACGAAAGUCCAAAGAUUUAUCGCCCAGGGAUGAGCCCGCGUAGGAUUAGCUAGUUGGUGAGGUAAAGGCUCACCAAGGCGACGAUCCUUAGCUGGUCUGAGAGGAUGAUCAGCCACACUGGGACUGAGACACGGCCCAGACUCCGUACGGGAGCAGCAGGUAGGGAAUAGUUGGACAAGUGGGCGC